This 301-nucleotide ribosomal RNA is filed under the name uncultured bacterium. RNAcentral's name for it is "partial 16S ribosomal RNA". It matches the Rfam family "Bacterial small subunit ribosomal RNA", at positions 509 to 807 of the family's 1533-position model. The record is from RNAcentral.
CAGUAGCCGCGGUAAGACAGAGGAUGCAAGCGUUAUCCGGAAUGAUUGGGCGUAAAGCGUCUGUAGGUGGCUUUUCAAGUCCGCCGUCAAAUCCCAGGGCUCAACCCUGGACAGGCGGUGGAAACUACCAAGCUGGAGUACGGUAGGGGCAGAGGGAGUUUCCGGUGGAGCGGUGAAAUGCGUUGAGAUCGGAAGGAACGCCCGUGGCGAAAGCGAGGCCCUGGACCCUUUCUGACGCUGAGACGCGAAAGCCAGGGGAGCGAACGGGAUUAGAUACCCCUGUAGUCCCUGUCUCUUAUAC